Long non-coding RNA from Scomber japonicus (chub mackerel), 150 nucleotides. RefSeq lists it as uncharacterized. The transcript is spliced from 3 exons. The record is from RefSeq and is a predicted model, not a curated record. NCBI's taxonomy places the organism in Eukaryota, Metazoa, Chordata, Actinopteri, Scombriformes, Scombridae.
UAAACAUUAUGUCAUUUUAGGACACAGAUAGACACUCUCAAGGACUGCCUGAACUCUGAGAAGCAAGGCCACCUGGAGUUGAUGACCAGAUGACUUUUAAUGCAAAAUGUCGUAUAAAAUGUUGGUUGGCCAGCUGAUCGUGCAGUGCAG